CUGGCGGCAGGCCUAACACAUCAAGUCGAGCGGAAACGAGUUAUCUGAACCUUCGGGGAACGAUAACGGCGUCGAGCGGCGGACGGGUGAGUAAUGCCUAGGAAAUUGCCCUGAUGUGGGGGAUAACCAUUGGAAACGAUGGCUAAUACCGCAUGAUGCCUACGGGCCAAAGAGGGGGACCUUCGGGCCUCUCGCGUCAGGAUAUGCCUAGGUGGGAUUAGCUAGUUGGUGAGGUAAGGGCUCACCAAGGCGACGAUCCCUAGCUGGUCUGAGAGGAUGAUCAGCCACACUGGAACUGAGACACGGUCCAGACUCCUACGGGAGGCAGCAGUGGGGAAUAUUGCACAAUGGGCGCAAGCCUGAUGCAGCCAUGCCGCGUGUGUGAAGAAGGCCUUCGGGUUGUAAAGCACUUUCAGUCGUGAGGAAGGUAGUGUAGUUAAUAGCUGCAUUAUUUGACGUUAGCGACAGAAGAAGCACCGGCUAACUCCGUGCCAGCAGCCGCGGUAAUACGGAGGGUGCGAGCGUUAAUCGGAAUUACUGGGCGUAAAGCGCAUGCAGGUGGUUUGUUAAGUCAGAUGUGAAAGCCCGGGGCUCAACCUCGGAAUUGCAUUUGAAACUGGCAGACUAGAGUACUGUAGAGGGGGGUAGAAUUUCAGGUGUAGCGGUGAAAUGCGUAGAGAUCUGAAGGAAUACCGGUGGCGAAGGCGGCCCCCUGGACAGAUACUGACACUCAGAUGCGAAAGCGUGGGGAGCAAACAGGAUUAGAUACCCUGGUAGUCCACGCCGUAAACGAUGUCUACUUGGAGGUUGUGGCCUUGAGCCGUGGCUUUCGGAGCUAACGCGUUAAGUAGACCGCCUGGGGAGUACGGUCGCAAGAUUAAAACUCAAAUGAAUUGACGGGGGCCCGCACAAGCGGUGGAGCAUGUGGUUUAAUUCGAUGCAACGCGAAGAACCUUACCUACUCUUGACAUCCAGAGAACUUUCCAGAGAUGGAUUGGUGCCUUCGGGAACUCUGAGACAGGUGCUGCAUGGCUGUCGUCAGCUCGUGUUGUGAAAUGUUGGGUUAAGUCCCGCAACGAGCGCAACCCUUAUCCUUGUUUGCCAGCGAGUAAUGUCGGGAACUCCAGGGAGACUGCCGGUGAUAAACCGGAGGAAGGUGGGGACGACGUCAAGUCAUCAUGGCCCUUACGAGUAGGGCUACACACGUGCUACAAUGGCGCAUACAGAGGGCGGCCAACUUGCGAAAGUGAGCGAAUCCCAAAAAGUGCGUCGUAGUCCGGAUUGGAGUCUGCAACUCGACUCCAUGAAGUCGGAAUCGC
This 1319-nucleotide ribosomal RNA is filed under the name Vibrio parahaemolyticus. Its description in RNAcentral is "bacterial SSU rRNA". It matches the Rfam family "Bacterial small subunit ribosomal RNA", at positions 36 to 1335 of the family's 1533-position model. Lineage: Bacteria; Pseudomonadati; Pseudomonadota; Gammaproteobacteria; Vibrionales; Vibrionaceae. The record is from RNAcentral.